CUCUGAUGAAGCUCUGAGCAACCUGGGCUAGUGGAAGGUGUCCCUGCCCAUGGCAGGGGAGUAGAAAGGGGUCUUUAAGGUUCUUUCAAACCCAAAGCAUUCUGUGAUUCUA
Molecule: long non-coding RNA, 112 nt
Organism: Neopelma chrysocephalum (saffron-crested tyrant-manakin)
Lineage: Eukaryota; Metazoa; Chordata; Aves; Passeriformes; Pipridae
Exons: 3
Source: RefSeq, a predicted model, not a curated record